UCUGUUAAUUAUGUUUAAAUUUAUUAUGUUUUUGUAAAUGGCAAUUAGGAGAUUUUUAAAUCGGCAUUAGACACAAUAACAUCCAUUAAUAUCUUGGCUGCUUAUUUCUGGAUUGUUAUUAUUGUAGUUAUAUUGGUCAUAAAAGUAAAUAAAUAAAUACAUAAAUAAAAAGAAAAAAUGUGUGUGUGUUGGGGGGGCGCAACAUAUUAAUACAUUUGUUAAAGCGCAUAUUCAUGUAGUAAAUUGGAGCAUAGUGUUCCACAAUAUAAUCAGUUCUAGAACAGGCUAACGACUCUGUAUGUACUGUAUGACAGCUAAUUGUAUAUCUUUUGAACUUUUAAUCUUGUUCUCUCAUAUUUGGGGUGUAACCAGCAGAUGUUACAGACAGAGUGUCCUUCAUGCAUGUAAUGUUUGAGCAGUUUCAGUGUACUGUGAUCAUGAUACUUUAAAACAAUAGAUUAGCAGUGUUGACAAUAGCAAAUAGUCAGAAUUAAGUCAGAAACAUACACAUAUGAUUUCUUCUUUUUUUCUUUAACCUAUCUUUCUAUUUCUGCUUUUUUUUUUAUUAUAUAUAUAUAUUUUUUUUUUUUUUUGGGCUAGAAGACACAUUACCAUUUAAGUUUGCAUAAUGACUCAUCACUUCCCAAUGUGUGAACUUCCUCAAAUAUUUCAUGCUUAUCUCUGCACUGCACCAGUGCUUUCAGACGACUUGUCCUCUCUUUUCAUUUGAAUUCAACUUUUAUAUCCUUGAAAGAAUGGAGAAUAAUGGAGGAAAACCGUGUCAGCAACAUUAUGUGCUGGUUUCGUCAGCGUUUCAGAAAACAAAGGAAUGAGUUGGACCAAGACAACCCCUGUAAACACUCUCCGACGGGUAACUCUACUCUUAGCAAACCCAUCUGCUCCCCUGGACACUCCAUCUGCAAACCCCACUGUGGAUCCAGCUGCUCUGUGGAAUCUAGUGUUUCCUCCUCUUCCUCUUCCUUUCCCUCUCAUAAAUCUUCCAUCGCGGCCAAGUCGUCCUCCUCAGAACAUUCUCUGCCCUCAGAGCUCUUCUCUUCUUUCCGCUCAACUCGCAGUUAUGACGUUUGUGUGUGUCACAAUGAUAAGGACAUUGAUCAAGCACAGAAUUUGGCCUUUUUCCUAGAGGACCCUUCGAAAGGUCUGCGCUGUUACCUGCAGGAAAGGGACUGUCCAUUAGGAGGUGCUGUGUCUACUGAGCUCCUGCAGGCAGUGCAUGACAGCCACUGCUGGGUGUUGCUCAUCACUCCAAACUUCCUGAAUGAUGACUGGUGCUUGUAUCAGAUGCACCAAGUCCUGUCUGAGGGGCCCAUGUCACAGAGGAUCAUCCCAGCUGUACUAAAUAUGCCCAGAUCUGAGCUUCCACAGGAACUUCGAUUUGUUUUUACUGUGGAUUUUAAUAGGAACAAAGAGGUUGGCUACAACCAAGUGUACAAGACAGUAAUUCAUUAUUUGAAGGACAUCAUUGAUAAGGAAAGGCUCUGCAAACUGUCUCAGUCAGAAAGCAGAGAAUAGUUUCAAAAUGGCAUGCCCAUGCACCAUCCACAAUCUGUUCACUGACUGUCUGAUGCAUACUGCACACAAAACAGGAAAGCAUUUUCUUGAUCUGACAAGGUCUACUGUGAUUGGCUGACUUUACAUAACUUCCAGGAGUAAGGGCACAAAUUAUGUUUUUUUUUUUGUUGUUGUUUUUUUUUUUUUUUUUUUAAAUCUGCCUGCUUAGAAAUAAAGUUUAUGGGGGCCUGGGUAGCUCAGUGGUAAAAUACACUGGCUACCACCAAUUCUGAUCACACACAUUUUUUAUAGUACACGUUUUCUGGCGUUUUCUCAACAAGAUCACACAGGAACUCGACAUGUUCUUAAUGAAUGUUCUGGUACCCUGACAUCGUCCCCAUUCUGCUGAUUUACUGACAAGCACCAUCUCCCAUCACACAUUUCUGCAUCAGUUCGACUGUGUUUACCUUUUACUGUAGAAACCAGAAAGUAAAUAUGUUUACUUAAUGCACAAUUUGGAGGUUGCAUUUCCCCUCUAAGAUUACAUUUUUACUACUCUGACUGUAAGGUUUAGUGUUUGGGUUAGGAGGUGGAGAUAAUAAAAUAUGCAUUCCAUUUUUUACAACUAAAAAUACAACCUGCUUUUGGCAUCACUCUGUGGAUAUUUCACCCGGAAACUGGAGCUCACACUUGCCAAUACGUUCAACAACACUUCCAGCUUUGGCCACUGGGGGCAGUGGUGUGAAUUGCCGUAAGCACAAACCGAUUUCAGCAUCAGAACUUUUGACUUGCCAAAUUCACAGUGACAUCAGUCUGCAUUUUUACACACAUUUUUUUUUACUAUUUUUUCAGUGUUUUGCAAACAACCGUUUGAAGAGACUGCUGCUCCAUUAUUUAAAUAUUUUUUUCACACCUAUCCAUUAUUGUGGUUUAAUUUAUUUCAGACCACAAUUAUUUGAAUGUAACUGAAUGAAUUUAACUCAUUGUGACCACAAUGACAAUGUUCUUCACUUCCAAGAAGUGAUAUCUAAAACAAGCUGUGUCAUAGCUUUCCGCAGUCUAUUGCCUCAGAGCUCCCUAAAUUAGUUUUAGUUAAAUAUGACUGCUGUCAAAAUGGAUUUAUCUUCCCUUAUCAUGCAGGAUGGGGCAUACAAUAUGUUAUCCUUUCUGAUUUUAGGUCAAAGUCAGAUUAAAGGAAGUCCUUAUGUAACUCAACCUACAAAGAACAAAAUAUUUUAGCAACAUAUAUUUUUUAAUAACAUGUGGAACUGUAUUCUCUCACUCUAUUCCACCAACAAAUAAAUACAUAUGUAAUGGAAAUGCAAGCUGUGAAUUUCAUUAGAACAGCAGCAGAUAUAAAUGACAUGUUAAUUGUGUUUACUAAUGCAUGUUUUUGAAGAAUCACAUCAGUAUUAAGAGUUUAUCUUAUAUGCAGAUUAUCAAUUAUUUUAAACACAAAGAGACCAUGGUUAUUUUGGUUUUUCUACUUGCAGUCAUCUGUGUUUGAAUUUGUGCCUUGAGGCAGAUGAUUCACUGUGGCAUUUCAAUGGUUUUAGAAGGGCUUAAUGCCACAGUUGGACAUGCCAUGUAAACCAGUGGGACACCUCAAAGAACUGCUAGCCUGGCCGCAAAGCAUGGCAGUCAAUAUGAAUAAUGAAGAAUAACCACUGUCUUACCUAAAGCAGCAAAGUCCAACACCUGAACCUGCAUUAUAAAUGUCAUCAUGUGCUGUGCCCAUCAACAAUGCCAGAGUCAACUUGAGAUGUUUUUCAAAAGUCAGGAUAAAAUUCAGUGCGGAAUGCCAGCCUAACAUGUUCAAGGAAUAAGUCUGAUGAAUAAAUGAAUAUUUUUCACUUGUCAUCUCAGUGCACUCUUGUUUUGAGUUGAUCCACGAUGCGUACAGACGCCACAACUUCAAAGGCACAUGUUGAUACAACUUAAAUGGAAUUGUUUUUAAUGCUACCAAAAUGUCAUAAAAACGGGUUAUUUCAUGAAUCAAAGUACUUGUUUAUAAAAAAAAAAAGAAAAAAAAUAGAAUCUUUUUAGAAACUAAGGGUGCACUCACACUAGUCGAUCUGUAUCGUGCCCAAGCACGUUUGACCCCCCAAAGUCCAGUUCGUUUGACUAGUGUGAUUACUCCAUACCGUGCCCUGGCACCCGCUUGAAGAGGUGGGCUUGGGCACGGUUCAGUUGGCUAAAGCACGUUACGCAUCUAGUAUGAUUGCUAACCGUGGCUGAGCACGGAACUCGAAACAUGAUGUCAGUGAUGCGACUGAUCCAUUUAACAAACAUGGCGGCAAAAGGAUCUCUUUGGUCUAUGGCAGAGGUGCAGUGUUUUCUGGAAAUUUGGGCCGACGAGAGUAUACAGGAACAACUGGAUAUAACACACAAGAACUCCGAGAUAUCUGGUAAAAUUUGUCACUAUCUUCAUGCUCGUGGAUACCAAAGAACUAUUGAGCAAUGACGUGACAAGCUGAAAAAACUGCAGGUUCAGUAUUUGAAGGUAAAUCUGGCAGCUCAUCGGACGAAAAGGAUAAAUUCCAGUGGUACGAUGCUGUCGACAAUUAGGCAUGUGAGAGGGCCAUGUGUCACCAUGCCCCAAAUGACUCCAAAUAAGCCACAAAGUGUUCAAACGUUAGAAUGAUGGACUUCAUUGUACUGUGCAAGUGCGCUUUUCUUCCUGUUUUCUUCAAAACAAAAAGUCGCAUCGUAAUGACGCAAGCAUGCUCAGGCCGGAACGUUAAGUGCUAUGUGAGUGCAGGCCAGCGGGGAAGUGGGGAGGGGGGACAAUCGUGCUUGGGCACGGUACAAGGCAACCAGGCCUAGUGUGAGUACGCCCUAGACAUUUUCUCACAAUCAAUGUAGAACGUUGCUUGGAGUCACUGACCCAGAUUCAGCUUUUCUCAUCCCACUCUCCCAGUUAUAGGGAGCUGUAACACGGAGCAGUUUGGCUGCAUAAGUCAGUGACUUGAGCGAGUAUUUCACCAUGUAUCAUGUCGUGUCGAGUGGAAGACUAGUUUUAUAAUCCCUCUGCCUUAAGGCAUUUACUGAUUUUUCAAUGCAGUGUGUAUUAACACAUGAAUCAACUGCAUUUCACUCAACCGAAUGUUGUUGACCUCACAUACACGCUAGUUGAUUGACAGGCGAUGUCUGUAUCUAAAAGAUGACUGGCUCUUUUACCUGCAAGGCGAGACUUCCAUUAUACAUCCAUUGACUGCUGGGUGCUAGAGCUUCUUGGUUGGGCAUUCCAAUUUCUCCCAUUCAUUUAAAUAGAAGUGACUCAUCUCAUUCUGCUAAAUAGUCUCUGGCCUCACACUCUAUAGAAGUAUAAUGCCAAUCAUGCACUACGUCUCCUCCCUGAAGGAUUUCUCACAUUACAGGGACAGCAGAGGUGUACAAAAGCAACACGUUACUUUAUUUAAAAAAUAACUCCGAUAUUAUGGUCUAAACUAAAAAAAUAUUGCAUUACUUUACUCGUUACUCUAAAAAAGUAAUCUGAUUACGUAAUGUGCAUUACUUUUAUCACGUUACCCCCAACACUGCUUGUGCACUUGUAAAUACUUAUGCGAGAGAGCAAGACCAGUGUUCAUUGGGGGAUGGGGAGGGGCAAUGAAGUCCUUUUACUGGUUGAUGCCUAGCCAAUGAAAUGGGCCAUUUUUGUAUGCGAUGACAUCACGUUACAUCGCCAGCCUGCGCCUUUUUGUUAAGGCAAAGCAGGACAGGUGUUAUGGGUCAACUGGGGAUCGUGUUAACUGGCCGUAUAAUUUGGGGGAGUGUAAUUGGGGAUGCAAAUAAUUUCUCUUACCUUUUCAGCAGAUUCGUUCAAUGUGAAUUGUUAAGGAGCACUGAUAAAACAUUUUGCACAUUACAAUUUUUUAUUCAUUAUUAACCCGCUUUGUUUCUUUGAUGUCUGUUUUAAUGAAUUUGACACAGUUUAAGAGUGAUUUUAACAGCUUCACAGGGUACCAUGUUUACCAAUGUUAAUGUGGGACAUUGGUUUUGAACUGGAACUGGCGAUUACACUUGUCAGAGCAGUAAAUCACAAGUGGAAUUAUUUUAUUUGCGAAAUGAAAUCAUCAUAGGCUGAAAUGCCUCAAUAACUAGCCUAUAUACUUAAAAUACAUUUAUUUAUUUAUGAAAAAUAAUACAUUGAUAAAAUGAUUGUUUUCCUUUUGUUGAUAGUAGUUAUAACCUAUGCUAUGUGUCAAAAUGUCAAAUUGAUUGAUUUAUGACGUGAUUUAUGACUCCCCUGUCACCCGUGAUUGACAGGCAGAAGAUAGUCCAGACAUGUUAAAGAACAUGUUUGGACAUGUUCUUUCUGGAGUGUAUUGGCCAGUCGUCGGAUGUCAGUGAUUGUUUAUGGUGUGUUAAUGUUAAUGAUGUCUUACCUCUCACCAUUGUUCCUUCCUGGUAUGCUUUUCACACUUACAUCACUACCCACAUCCUGAAUUUUUUGUUUAAAUAAUGGUUUAAGAUGCCAUAGUUAAAACACAGAAGACACUCUGUAACUUUCUGCUACAAUGGCUGCUCCGAGAACUCCUAAAACCUCUAGAAGAUUGAUGUGUAUUUCACCAACAAGAGGACCUGUUGAAAUGAGAGAGGAACUGAUUUUUGCACCAAGGAAAAAACAAAAUGUUAGUUUGACAAAGUUUCUUCAUGAAGAUGUGGAUUUUGCGAAACAUGAUUUCUCAUUGUCUGGUAAACGUGUAGGAAGAUAUGUGUUUGAAAAGGUGAUGCGGACUGUGAAACUCUAUACUGUGGAUAUUGGAGCUGAUUUUACAUCACAAGAACCCUGUCUGAUUUUCCCUGCCAAAGACUGGUUUAUGUUUUACAAUUACAUUUGGAGAGAUUUGAAUGACUGUGGCGAUAAGCCACUGUACAUCGGUGAGUGGGACGCCAUGACUCCUUAUAUUUUUUGUGUAACGACAAGACAAAGCUCUGCGAAAGUGCAUGGCCUAUUCCUGAGUCUGAGCAUCACAUGUGCUAUGACAUGAAAUUUUUGUUUCAGCUGAAAUAUGUUUGUAUGCUUGAUGACAUUUUUACCUGUAUUGACAAGAUGUUUAGGUGAUGUGACAUAUAUGAUCGCAACAGUUCUGUAAAGACAAUAUUGUUUCACCCUGAGCAGGGCGUCAACAACCCCAAAGACCGCCUCUUAAGUCCGCCCCCAUAUUACAGCCAUUAAAAAUGGCAGCAGUUCGGUAUAUUCGCUACAUACAUUCACCAUGUCUCAAGAAUCUAUGACUGUCUACUGCUACACCAACACUCCUGAGACUGCACCGGCGAUGCCUGAUGACAACGCAACACCGCUGGAGCCCCACCCACAAACUUGUGACAACAACUGGUUGGACACAUUUUGCAAGGAUCUGGGGUAUCACAACCUGACCUUCCUUACAACGCCGUACGGCAAUUCUGGAGCAAUAGCUGGAGCUGCGGCCUAUGCUGGGAUUGAUGACACAGACAGUUGUAUCCGCUCUGACGGCUUCAAAAUCAUAAAAGUGACUGUCGUGGUCCUUUUGGAACAUCUCAUCAACAAAAAGCUGAAAGAACUCUGUUUGGGCUGUGAGGUGGACCAUCCGAGUCAGAUUAGACAUUCCUGCUUGUUUGAACCUGACGCCUAUUUCUUUGACGCAUACUUUGAGGAACUGUCACGUAAUCUGGUUAAACCAGGACUUAAACACAUCAUAGCUCAAGCAUUGAGCCAGUGUGGUUUGAGGAUUCACCCCCAGAGGAUUCAGGAGAGGGUGGACACUAUUAUGCAUGAACUGUGUGAUGAAGUUUACAUUGUGGAAAAGCUUCGUGAAGUCAGAAAGAAAGUUGUGGAUGUCAGCAGCGAACAGAUUGUCUAUGACGCCGUGGACAAUUGGAAAGGCUCUGCCCAAGUUGCCUGUGUGUGAUACUGAAAUGGGGAACACAUGCUGUCCUACAGGACUGGCAAAGUGUCUACUUAAAUGUCGUAUUAGAUGUGAGAUGACCAACUUAAUGUACAAAAUCAUUAAUGACUGUGUUGAUGUACCUGUUGCUGUAAACAAAUGUGGUGUUGAUCCCAAAUGUUUAGCAAACCUCAAGAAGCAAAUGUCUGUUGUAAGAGAUAUGUCAAAUGAGUGGACAGAUAUGAUGCGUAUGUGUAUUAUUGCAGGUGAUCAAAUUUGUGCAACUACCAGAAAAAUACUAGACCUGGUGACUGAAUGUGGCAGUUGUAUUAGAAUUGCUGACAUAAUCUGUAUGUGUUCGUAUGCGACUGAUUUAUGUGUAAUCACAGUGUCAAGAAACGACCAGACUGAUGUUUGUGAAAUUACUGAAACACUAAUUGAUUACAUUCUUGAGAAAAACAUUGUGAUGUGUAUAAAAAUUUCUACAGUACCUUGAUGCUGUAUGAUGCCAAUGUUCUCUUUUACUGAAAUA
Molecule: RNA transcript, 7914 nt
Organism: Myxocyprinus asiaticus (Chinese sucker)
Lineage: Eukaryota; Metazoa; Chordata; Actinopteri; Cypriniformes; Catostomidae
Gene: tirap
Gene name: toll-interleukin 1 receptor (TIR) domain containing adaptor protein
Exons: 5
Source: RefSeq, a predicted model, not a curated record